AUCAAUCAAUCAAUCAAGAGGGACAGCAGCCAUGAAGACUUGCCUGGAAGGGGUUUCUCUGAAUAGAGACCUGUUAUACCCUUAGGCAUUAGGGCUUCAUCCCUCCUGGAAAAAAAUGGUAUCUUUGUCUUUUUUUGCCCAAGUUCCACUGCUGGCCAGCCAAGACCCCAGGAUGACAGCAACCCAAGAAUGGUUCUCACCUUGGGAAUACCACCUCCAAUAGGACCAGACUUUCCCAAGGUGUUUUGCAGCAUCCUUUCACUGACUGGUCUACCAAGCCUUACCUGCAUCUCUUUCAAAUAACAUGUUUACUGAGUGACAACUGCAUGGAAGAUGCUGCUAAAGCCACAAAGUAAGAGUCAUCUAGCCCUUCCCUACAGAGUUCUGUCCUCUAUUUUGACAA
This 403-nucleotide long non-coding RNA is filed under the name Ictidomys tridecemlineatus (thirteen-lined ground squirrel). RNAcentral describes it as "lncRNA (ENSSTOG00000032050.1)". The record is from RNAcentral. Lineage: Eukaryota; Metazoa; Chordata; Mammalia; Rodentia; Sciuridae.